RNAcentral lists this ribosomal RNA (521 nucleotides) under uncultured bacterium. RNAcentral describes it as "bacterial SSU rRNA". It matches the Rfam family "Bacterial small subunit ribosomal RNA", at positions 8 to 524 of the family's 1533-position model. The record is from RNAcentral.
AGAGUUUGAUCAUGGCUCAGAUUGAACGCUGGCGGCAUGCCUUACACAUGCAAGUCGAACGGCAGCACGGGAGCAAUCCUGGUGGCGAGUGGCGAACGGGUGAGUAAUAUAUCGGAACGUGCCCAGUCGUGGGGGAUAACGUAGCGAAAGCUACGCUAAUACCGCAUACGAUCUAUGGAUGAAAGCGGGGGAUCGCAAGACCUCGCGCGAUUGGAGCGGCCGAUAUCAGAUUAGGUAGUUGGUGGGGUAAAGGCUCACCAAGCCGACGAUCUGUAGCUGGUCUGAGAGGACGACCAGCCACACUGGAACUGAGACACGGUCCAGACUCCUACGGGAGGCAGCAGUGGGGAAUUUUGGACAAUGGGCGCAAGCCUGAUCCAGCAAUGCCGCGUGCAGGAUGAAGGCCUUCGGGUUGUAAACUGCUUUUGUACGGAACGAAACGGCGAGCUCUAAUACAGUUUGCUAAUGACGGUACCGUAAGAAUAAGCACCGGCUAACUACGUGCCAGCAGCCGCGGUAAU